UUAAUUUUACAAACUUACAAUGAAAACCAUUUUCUUAAAAAGGGAAAUACGCACUAAAACUGCAUCACUUCCCAAUUAUUUUACUGUUAUCUAACCUAGGCUAUUUAUGGCUAUCGUAUCUGGGGGUGGACACACACCAUAUAAGGAUGUGGGCCAACUCGCCAUUCAUCAACGUCAGAUGGGUGCCUUGAUACCUGUCAGGGUAGGAAUGCUGACACCACAGACAUGAGUAAGAGCCACAUACUGGGGCCCCUCACCCCAUCCCAGAGGGCUGGCUGUGAAACAUUUUUCAGCGCACCACGGAGCUCAGCCUCUGCCCUCCGGGCCCCUCCAGUAGGGCUGGGCGCACAGCAGAGCUUAAUGAAGGCCGCCAAAGAAGAGGAGAGAAAGGAUGUGGGGUUUGCCUUGGGAAGCAGGAUGACUGGCUUCCAACAUCUGCCACCAAGUGCUGGCCCCUUUCCCCUCGGGGCUUUCCUGGGGACACAGCUAACAACUCCUGGUCUCCAACCUCUCAGUUUAUGGAAGAGGAAAGAACAGAAGGCAGGGUGGAUAAAUGGCUUGUUUCGGGGCACCCAGCAAGAUGCCCUUGCAACCUGUGCCGUGAGCGCUGGGAGCGCACACAGCAGGAGCUCUGCAGAGAAGAAAACCAAGAGAAGACUGGGUUCUGGUCUUCAACUCCCCUCAAGGUUGUCCUGAACAGGAUCCUCACCAAUGUCCUCUUGAUCUUUGUUGGACCCCAGCCUCUCGGACAGCCCCUUCUUGUUUGCAGUGAGGAGGCCUGAGCCAGGCCAUGAUGGGGGUAGGCGGGGUGGGGGCUGCCUAUGGGACAGGGGAACAGACGGUUGGAGCCAGCUUCACACGUCUAAGCCUGAGAGGCCACGGUGGUUGGAAGGGUGCACCAUGGUGGGGGCACUGGAGGGCUGGGUCCGGCUGCAGGUGGUGAUGGGGUUCACUGGUGCCGUAUAUCCCUGGUGAAGCAUGUGGGGCAUCUGGGGGUGGGAAGCUCAGAUUUUCUGACCUUACUUGACAGAGGAGUCGAGGUUCUCGAUUAGCUAAGAGCCCUUGUCUGGUGCCUGCUUGUGGCACUGGCCUUGGAGAGCCCAUGGGGGUUAUGCCGGCAGCGACCUCGGUGGCCUCCUCUGUUCUCCAUCCUGCCCCUCUUCACAGGGACAGAACUGCACGGCGUGAUGCGUGCGGGCCCUACAGCUCCACUUCAGGGUUCGCGUCUGGCAUGGACUUACUGGCCGUGCGUCCUUUGGCGAGUUAUUCAGCCCGUUUCCUCACCUGUGGAAUGGAGUGAGCACAACGGCAUCCCCGGCAUCCCCGGCAUCCCCGGCAUCCCCGGCAUCCCCGUCAUAGGCUGCUCAUGCCCUCUGGAGGGGGGUGAACUCAUCCAGGGCUCUUCUCUCCAGCAUCUGCAGCUCUCUGCUGUCCUCUAGCGGACGCUGACUGCGCCAUCCUGAGGGGACACCUGGCGUGCCCAGAAGAGGCCAUGUCUUCCUUCAGAUUCCAAAGGCCAUUUGCCAUGUGUGAUUACCUUGAACCCCAAUACAUUUCUGCAAACGUCCUUAUUCCACGGUUGAAGCCAAACUUUAUCACCCGCACCCCCAGCGUGGGGACAAGCUGGCCGUUUCCUCCCACCUGUGUCCUCCUCUCCGGGCCACAGUCUGGUGUGCAAACCGAGGAACAGCAGAGGCCGCGUCUGCUUGGCUCACAGCUCUGUCUCGGGGCCCAUUAGGGGCCGGGCGCAGCGCUGAGGCCCAGUGUCUGUGCGGAGCGGGGUGCGCACCCGGGGCAACCGUGUGGCCUCGCUGCUCCCUGCGCCUCCUUCCUCCUAUUGAGAGACCCCGCAGAGGGUCGGGGCGUCCACUGGGGCAUCACGGGG
Nyctereutes procyonoides (raccoon dog) is the source of this 1885-nucleotide long non-coding RNA. RefSeq lists it as uncharacterized. NCBI's taxonomy places the organism in Eukaryota, Metazoa, Chordata, Mammalia, Carnivora, Canidae. The transcript is spliced from 4 exons. The record is from RefSeq and is a predicted model, not a curated record.